UAAAGAGCUGCGCCAUGAGCGCAUGAUACGCCCGUCGUUCGCCAAUGAAGUAGUAAGGUAAUAAAUAACCCUUUGAAUCAUUUUUUUACUUCAGUUUAUUUGUAUUUGAAUACAUGGUUUAUUUUAUAAGAACAUGAGCAUGGAGCGCCGUCUCCUUGACAUUCAACAAAGUCCCAUAACUGUGGAACAACAAUUCAGAAUUCCGUCAAAAACGAAAGGGGAUCAGGGUUUAUCAAUAUUAAGAUUGUGUUGAAAUUUGAAAAAAAAUCCAUCGAAGGAUAUUUGAGCUACAGUAGGACAUUCAAUGAAAUCACGAAAUUUUGACGAACAAAGUCCCAUAACUCUGGAACGACAAUUCAGAAUUCCGUCAAAAACGAAAGGGGAUCAGGGUUUAUCAAUAUUAAGAUUGUGUUGAAAUUUGAAAAAAAUCCAUCGAAGGAUAUUUGAGCUACAGUAGGACAUUCAAUGAAAUCACGAAAUUUUGACGAACAAAGUCCCAUAACUCUGGAACGACAAUUCAGAAUUCCGUCAAAAACGAAAGGGGAUCAGGGUUUAUCAAUAUUAAGAUUGUGUUGAAAUUUGAAAAAAAUCCAUCGAAGGAUAUUUGAGCUACAGUAGGACAUUCAAUGAAAUCACGAAAUUUUGACGAACAAAGUCCCAUAACUCUGGAACGACAAUUCAGAAUUCCGUCAAAAACGAAAGGGGAUCAGGGUUUAUCAAUAUUAAGAUUGUGUUAAAAUUUGAUGAAAAUCUGUCAAAGGAUAUUUGACGUAGCGUACGACAUUAACAGACGGACAGACGGACGCGGGGUAUACCAUAAUACGUCCCGUCAUAGA
Molecule: long non-coding RNA, 836 nt
Organism: Dreissena polymorpha
Lineage: Eukaryota; Metazoa; Mollusca; Bivalvia; Myida; Dreissenidae
Exons: 2
Source: RefSeq, a predicted model, not a curated record